Molecule: ribosomal RNA, 690 nt
Filed under: uncultured bacterium
Lineage: Bacteria
Description: bacterial SSU rRNA
Rfam family: Bacterial small subunit ribosomal RNA
Source: RNAcentral
AGAGGAGCUUGCUCCUCGGAACAGUGGCGGACGGGUGAGUAACACGUGAGCAACCUGGCUCUAAGAGGGGGACAACAGUUGGAAACGACUGCUAAUACCGCAUAACGUAUCGGGAUGGCAUCUUCCUGAUACCAAAGAUUUUAUCGCUUAGAGAUGGGCUCGCGUCUGAUUAGAUAGUUGGCGGGGUAACGGCCCACCAAGUCGACGAUCAGUAGCCGGACUGAGAGGUUGAACGGCCACAUUGGGACUGAGACACGGCCCAGACUCCUACGGGAGGCAGCAGUGGGGGAUAUUGGACAAUGGGGGCAACCCUGAUCCAGCGACGCCGCGUGAGGGAAGAAGGUUUUCGGAUUGUAAACCUCUGUUGACGGAGAAAAAAAUGAUGGUAUCCGUUUAGAAAGCCACGGCUAACUACGUGCCAGCAGCCGCGGUAAUACGUAGGUGGCAAGCGUUGUCCGGAAUUACUGGGUGUAAAGGGAGUGUAGGCGGGAUAGCAAGUCAGAAGUGAAAAUUACGGGCUCAACUCGUAACCUGCUUUUGGAACUGACAUUCUUGAGUGAAGUAGAGGCAAGCGGAAUUCCUAGUGUAGCGGUGAAAUGCGUAGAUAUUAGGAGGAACACCAGUGGCGAAGGCGGCUUGCUGGGCUUUUACUGACGCUGAGGCUCGAAAGCGUGGGGAGCAAACAGGAUU